This 468-nucleotide ribosomal RNA is filed under the name uncultured bacterium. RNAcentral's name for it is "partial 16S ribosomal RNA". It matches the Rfam family "Bacterial small subunit ribosomal RNA", at positions 28 to 507 of the family's 1533-position model. The record is from RNAcentral.
GACGAACGCUGGCGGCGUGCUUAACACAUGCAAGUCGAACGGAAAGGCCCUGCUUUUGUGGGGUGCUCGAGUGGCGAACGGGUGAGUAACACGGGAGUAACCUGCCCUUGACUUUGGGAUAACUUCAGGAAACUGGGGCUAAUACCGGAUAGGUGCUCCUGCUGCAUGGGGGGGGUUGGAAAGCUUCGGCGGUUGGGGAUGGACUCGCGGCUUAUCAGCUUGUUGGGUGGGUAGUGGCUUACCCAGGCUUUGACGGGUAGCCGGCCUGGGAGGGUGACCGGCCACAUUAGGACUGAGAGACGGCCCAGUCGCCAACGGGAGACAGCGGUGGGAAAUAUGGCACAAUGGGCGGAAGCCUGAUACAGCAACGCCGCGUGCGGGAUGACGGCCUUCGGGUUGUAAACCGCUUUCGCCUGUGACGAAGCGUGAGUGACGGUAAUGGGUAAAGAAGCACCGGCUAACUACGUG